UCUUAAAACCUAGAUAUAUGGUUUGUUAUUUGUUAAUUGGUUGUACAUUGAUAAUGCGAAACCGCAUCAGUAACUUGAUGUUAUAAAACGCAUUGUUGUGUAUAGUUGAUUAAUGAAUAAGUAAAUGCAUAUAAGUCGAAGUUUAUCUGUUACUUUUAUCCUAAGAGGGUAAAAGCGAUAUCUCGGCCGCUCGAUGAUUUGAUUUGACUUAUGUGUCGGGCCCGGUCAGAACUGAAUUGAUGUGUUCGAUUAAGUUCUAUGUCAAAUAAAUCGGAGAUCGAGAAACCAAAUGCUAGACAAAUUAGUUCCAUAUAAAUGUCAGCAUGAUAUCUAAACAGAGGACUGUACGAUCCCUUAUCUAAAGGACAAGAUUGAUUAGAUCAGAGUUUGACAGCGUCUUUGAGAGCUACGAUUGCAAAUCGGAUUGUACUUGUGCAUAUAGUUACUAGACUUAUCCAAGUGGGAGACUGUUGGAAUAGUGUCUAAGGCUGCAACUAUAUUAGGCAAGUAUUUGACCCGAUUGUGCAUGGUCCUUUUGGGUUGCCUUCACCAUAGCAACCUGACAGGAUGAUUUAUUAUGAGAGAAUAAAUAUUAUUAAUAUAUUAUGAGAAUAAUAUAAGGUAUAAUAAUAUUAUUAUUUGAGUAAUAUAAGUCAUAAAUUAAUUAGGAAUUAAUUUGGUGACUUAAAGACAUUAAUUAAAUAAAGGGGUAUAAACUGUCAAUUGUUUGAUAGUUGCACUUUGGGCUAUAUAUCCUUUAUGGAUGAGGGGUGGACGAUUUCUAGGGCUAAGGAUAGCCAUAAAAUCGUCUAGGGCUUAUCAUGAAAGGGAUUUCGAUUUCUUAGGGCCUAAGUUAUCCAAUUAGGGUUUAAGGGUGAAACCCUAGGAGCCUUGCAAGUAUAAAUAGACCCUUAGGGUCAAGAGAAAUUGGCACUUGUGCUUAGAGAAGAAACCCUGGCCGAAUUUCUCUUCCCUCCUCUCUCUCAAAUCAUCCUCCUUGCUAGUUGGUGUUUGUAAGCCAUUAGAGGAGUGACAAUUGUGACUCUAAAGCCUCAAGGACAAGAAGAUCAAGCAAGUGUUUCAAGGUAAACUUCUAAUCUCUGUUUUAUAUUGUUAUUAAACUCUAUUAGCCAUUAGAAGUCUUGGAUUCAAUGUAUGUUCAAUUAAAGAAACCUAGAUCCAAGCAUUAGGGUUGCAUGUGCACAUAGGAAUGUUCAUAUGGCUAAAACCCAUCAUCAUACUGCAGACUCUAUAUGCAUGUUGUUUGUUAUGAUAUGGUUGUGGUUUGUAUGGCGUUGUUAUUUUGGGGGAAAUGACUAAGCUUCGGGCUUACAAGGUUGGAUUUUGUUUCAGGUACUUCGGAUGAUCGCAGGAAGGCGAAGGCUUGAUCAUGCACCUCCUCAGAUUUUAUGAUUUUUAUUUCUGGGAUACUCUGAUAUGAAACUUUUUUGAAAAUAUUUUGUAAUAAGUAAUGGUUUUGGAUACUUGAAAAAGUUUGAAAUUUUUAUGAUUUUUUAUGGAUGUUACAUCGGUAACUUUAUGGGUUACAAGAUGGUUGACUCUAGGCCUGUUAUGGAACAAUUCCAAGAAAUAUUAAGGAUUUAGGGACACUUUGCUCAACACAAUCUGAAAAUGGAUGAAACCAUUUAUGUGACUGUGUCAACUUAAAAGCCAUUUACGGAUUGAAUAUUCCUUAAGGACUCAAGAACUUGAUAACAAUCCCAAAGGCAAGAACCAAGUUGGUUCCUCUUCUGUGAACAUGGUGGAUGGAGAAGCAUCAAAGAAUCAAAACAAGUCUAAUGGAAAAAGGAAGUUCAAAGGAAAGGAAUGUUGGAUUAGAUGUCUAAGCCAAUAACUAUUGUUGGUAUGUAGUUGACCGGAGAGUAGCAUGGUCCAUUUGGGGUCCAUAUCACCAUGACAAUUUGUUAGGAUAGACUUUUGAGAGAAGGUUAUGUAUGAUUUAUUAAUAUAUUAUAAGUUCUAAUAUAUUAAAAUGAAAUCAUAUGUUUUAAUUAGUAUUGAUCAAGAACUAAUUUGGAAUUAAAUUAGUGAUCAAAAGAGACUAAUUAAAUCUAUGGGGACUAAUUAUGGUAAUUAAUUAUAUUUAUAUGUGUUGGACUUAUGAUCCAUGUUGGACCAAGUUUAUGUAUGGAUACAUAAAGAGUUGGGCCACAUUAACCAUGGAUCAUAAACCCAUGGGUAUGGGCUUGGGUUAACCCAUGACCUUUGGAAUUCCACAUAUAAAUAUGUUGCUUCAUAGCCAAAAUCACCACUAAUGUAUUCUUGGAGGAUAUGGGCGGUUUUGGUGUGUAGUAAUUCUCUCUCAUGUUUCAUCCUUUGUCCAUGAUGUGUUGUGACUUCAUUUGAGGCUUCCACACUAUUGGGGCUAAGCUCUUAAGGCCAAAUACAUCAAGACUUCAAGAUACAUAAAAGGUAUGUUACUCUAAUUAGUAUCUUAUUUGGUAUAUGAAAAUUGCAUGCUAGUUAUAGGAUUAAUGCCUUGGAAACCAUUUGCAUGUAUAAUUAGUGAAAACAUAGAUCCAAGUUAUUUAGGGUUGUAUGUACACCAUAGGAUAUUGUACUAUACUAAAACCCAUCAAGGAUGACAAGUCUUCCAACAAGAAAGCAAAAGUGGUGUGUUAGGAUUGUAACAAACUGUGUCACUCCAAGAAAGAUUGUCGUUUUCAUAAAAUGAACAAGGAUGAUGCUGGACCAAGUGGAUCCAAGGAUCCAGAAAAGCAAUAAGGUCGGAUUUCUAUUUUCAUGCAGAAUUCUAAAUAUAUUCAGAAUUAGAUUUCUAUGAAUUCUGAAGCAUUUAUGUGCGGGAUGAUAAUCUUGCAUGGUGGUUUGAUUCGGGAGCAACAGUCAUGUUUUCAAAGAUUUAUAUUGGUUCAAGGACAUUCAACCAAUUGAAGAUAGAUUUGUUGUGAAGAUGGGAAAUGUUACAACUAAACCAAUCAAGGGACUAGGGUUUGCUUUACUUACCUUUACUUCUAGGAAAUGUUUGUGUUUUAACAAUGUUUUAUAUGAUCUAGGGAUUCGUAAGAAUCUUGUGUCUGAAAAUUUAUUAAAUAAUUGUGGUUACAAACAAGUAUUAGAAAGUGACAAGUGUAUCUUGUCAAGACAUGGUUCUUGUAUGGGAUUUGGAUAUGUAUAUAAUGGAAUGAUUAGUCUUAAUAUUAAUUAUCCUUUUAUUGAUAAUUCUGUUUGCAUGGCUUCUACUAGUACUAGCAAUAAUUUUAAGAAAUAUGAUUUAUGGCAUGCUAGACUAAGACACAUUCAUUACAAUAAAUUAAAAAGACAUGUCUAAAAUUAGUUUAAUUCCUGCUUUUGAUAUACAAAAUAAUGAAAAAUGUAAAACCUGUAUGGUAACUAAAAUCACUAGAUAACCUUUCAAAUAUGUUGUUAAGGAAAAGAAGGUGUUGGAUCUUAUACGUAGUUAUUUAUGUGAUUUCCAUGCAACACCUUCCCUUGGAAACAAAAUGUAUGUUGCUACUUUUAUUGAUGAUGCAUCUAGAUAUUAUUAUGUCUAUUUGCUACAUUCUAAGGAUGAAGCACUUGAUAAAUUUAAAACUUAUAAAAAACAAGUUGAGCUUCAUAAAAAUGAAUUAAUAAAAGUCUUGCUUACUGAUAGAGGCAAUGUUCACUGUGUGUUACAUCUUGAACAGAACUCCAAAUAAAAGGAGUAAGAGUACUCCUUGUGACCCUUGGUGUAAAAAGAUACCAAAUUUGAGUUAUCUCAAAGUUUGACACUACUAGAAAAACAGCCUUUUACGACGCUCAUUGCGCGUCGUAAAGGGCUCAGACGACGCGCAAAUGCGCGUCAAGAAAGGCCCUGUCAUCAAGAGAGACAACGCACUUUUUCACUUCGUCUAUAGACGACGCGCAUUUAUGAUGCGCAUUUACAACGUGCGGUUAUGACACGAAAUGCGUAUCAAGGAAAGCCCUGUCAUAAAGGAAGACGACACACAUUUACGUGUCGUAACCUUACGACGCGCAUGUUUAUGACACGCAAUGCGUAUCAAGGAAGCCCCUGUCAAGAAAGGUCAUGUCAUAAAUAAAGAUGACACACAUUAAUGCGUAUCAUAAUUUUAAAUGUUAAAAACAAUAUUAUUUACAGAUUUACUAAUUUUCAAAUUAAAUUUGCAUUUAAUGUCUCAUAACACAAAAUAAAAUACCAUAUACAAAAAAUACAAUCCAUUGCAUAAAAUUUAUUGUCAUACAAAUAACAAACUUUAUUUCAUAUUCAUACAUAUGAUUACAUUAUUCAUUAAAAAAAGCAUAUACCUACAUCUUCCCCUAAAAUGUUAUUACAUGAUGUUGGCCACUUCAUUGAUGGAUCACCAAGAGGAAAACCAACAACUGCCCUAAAAUGUUCCAUGAUGUGCCGAUACUCAUGUUCUGUAACUUUAAAUAUUUAAGAAAGUAAAAUACCUCCUAAAAAUAAAAAUGCACAAGAAACAACACAUCAUAAUGAGAAAUUACUAACAUGAAUGGAAGAAGUACACUAUAAAUUUGUUUUACCAAGAGUGGCAUGGACGAUCAGGUGCUACAAAGUUUGUCCAAGCUGCCAAACAAAGACUGCAUGCAAGCCAAAACAUACAUACACUAUAAAUUUAAUUACCAUACAAAUCAUAUUCAUACAUACGAGUUUGUUUUACCUUUUUUUUUCCUCGUAUCUUUAUUUUUUUUAUUCUUAUUAACUAUGGAGUGUUGGUGUUUUCUUUUAUUUCGUUCAAUCAACCCUUUGUUUUACUUUGAAAAAUUAACAAUUUCCCUACCAAUUGACUCUGCAUCAAACAGAAAAAAGUAAGUCAAUCAAUAGUAAAUGGUGAAUACCAACUACAAGUUUUUACUGAAGUAACCUGACACCAUAAAUACUUUGGUUUAAUAAACAGGAACAUGUAUGUAUAAAAAUCGCAAUUGAAGUACUUUGGUCUAAUACCUCCAUUUCUAGUAAGUGUCCAAUCAUUGUUUGUGAAGGUUGAAGACCUUCAAACAAAAAACUCCCAGCAAUGUCAUUAAUGUGCAUCUUAAGAACAGGAAACUAUUGUAGUUCAUGCACUAGACAACUAUGGGUGAUCUGAAAUAUUUCCCAAAUAUUUAUUUAUUCUGAAUUAUAAAAAAAGAAAAAGAAAAAGAAAAAAAGAUAAUACCUUUACUAAUUCAUUGUAUACAAGUCUAACACAUUGAAGACAAUGAUCCAACAACCGAGCUAUUUGUCUUCGAACCAAAACUUGAAGUGGAACCUAUAUAUAUGUCAUUAUGCCUUCACAACAUUAACAUUAAGAAUAAUAAAUUAAAUUAGAAAAAAAAAUAAGAAUGGUGAUAUAUACUUGAUGCAGUUCUCAUGAACACCACCAUGAGAUUUAUCAUUGCUGGUUCCUUGUUUUGAGUUUCCAUAGAACUUCCCANUAUAUAUAUAAAGAGAGAGAGAGAGAGAGAGAGAGAGAAAUAAUAAUGAACGUGUUUGCACCUGCCAUUCGGACCACAAACAUCAUCUGUGUUUGCUCCUGAAAUCAAUAACAUAAGAAUUAAUAGUAAGUCAACAUUUAACUGUUAUUUUAAUUAUUGAUGUGAAAGAGCUCACUCACAUGCUAGAAUUUAAAAGCCCAACGUCCAGUACCAUGUUGUUGCUUAAAGGAUAAAGCCCAAGCAUUUGGGUCCCCACCGUGUUCUUGGGAAAAUUCAUCAGCCCAACCAUCUGCAUGGGGCCCGGGCCCCAUGACUUGCGACUCUCCCCAAUACUGAUCCAGCUUUGCGUAUCUACCAGGAAUGUGCUCCCUAACCAACCCCUCAUGAUUAUCGAUCUCUAAAUAAGAUAACCGAGCAUUCACCUGAACAAGUAUUAAUAUAUGUAUUUAGUUCAUCUAUCAAGAUUGUAUAUUAGGUAGGUCAAUAGAGUAGUUGUAGCUACUCUAAUUUUCAUGGUUUAUAGAACACGUUGUGAUUUCAUCUUUAAUAGCCCUGCCAAAUAUUUUGAUUUGAAUACUUAAUUACCAAGCAACCUUUCAGAUUACAGAAAAUGAUAAGACACCAAGCAUGGUCAUGUCACUAAACGAGGCCUUAGCUUAUUACAAUAGAAUUGGUUGUUGUUGUUGGAAAGAAGAAUAUUUGAUUUUCAGCUAACUUUCCUAAUUCCUAAUUUAAUUCUCUUGUUUAUAUGUAAAAUCUUCAUCAACUUUUGCUUAUCUAAUAAGAUUGCUCCCUCCCUGAAUCAUAACAAGGAACGUGAAGCAAAAUCUCAAAUCUUUUUAUUGGCCAAGACUUAAGACCAUAUCAACCUUCAAGGCUGUUACAUCUAACUCAUAUGUGAUCAAUANGUUACAUCUAACUCAUAUAGUGAUCAAUAAUGUGUGUAUAUAUAGAAAAAGUGUAGGUUGUGUCAUCAUACCUUAAAUGAGAAAUUACUGAAUGAGUAAUUCACAUUGAGAGUUGAAGCACCAAAUUCUUCCAGGUUACCACAUUCAUCACCCGGCCUGUUUAAUCACACAACCAAAUAAUCAAGGAUUACAAAAGAAACCAGGUAUGUGUGUGCGUCUGUGUGUGUGUGUGAUGAAAAGGAUGCAUGGAUAUGAGAUCAUACCUCUUCCUCUAGCAUAUUGCCGAAAGAACUAUCACCAAAUGUGCUGCCUGUAUCAGACAUAUCAUCAAAAUCGCUGUCUCCAUCAACCUGCUCAUCUUCUGGAUUCCAAAUAGACCGGCUCAUGAAAUAACUCGUGUCCAGAGUCUCACAAGAUGGUAUGAAUGUAGCCUGAUUGAAACAUAUCCCCACACAACUCAACUCAACUCAACUCUUAUAAAACAACUUUUUUUUCUUAGAAUAAAAGUUGAAAAUAGAUGAAAUUACCUUCUGCCUUGCAAGUGUGUCCCAAUAGAUAUUCUUAAAGAAAUGGUGCAUCUCUACCUGUUUGUUUANUGUGUGUGUGUUUAAUUAAUAUGUGUUUUAACUUUAUAUAUAUAUAUAUAUAUAUAUAUAAAGUGUAGGUUGUGUCAUCAUACCUUAAAUGAGAAAUUACUGAAUGAGUAAUUCACAUUGAGAGUUGACGCACCAAAUUCUUCCAGGUUACCACAUUCAUCACACGGCCUGUUUAAUCACACAGCCAAAUGAUCAAGGAUUACAAAAGAAACCAGGUAUGUGUGUGUGUCUGUGUGUGUGUGUGGAAAAGGAUGCAUGAAUAUGAGAUCAUACCUCUUCCUCUAGCAUAUUGCCAAAAGAACUAUCACCAAAUGUGCUGCCUGUAUCAGACAUAUCAUCAAAAUCGCUGCCUCCAUCAACCUGCUCGUCUUCUGGAUUCCAAAUGUACAACCCCUAUGGCACUAAGGCGUUGAGCUGGAUUUUCAGUCAGCAACCUAAAAUUGAAAUAAACAUAAACAUAAUUAUAAUUAUGUAUAAAUAUGUGAUGAUUGGAUUGAUUGAUAAAAAAGUAGAAACUUACUUAUUAAUCAGAUCAUAUGCUUCAUAGCUCAUCUCCUCAGGAAUCUUGGGCCAUGUUACAUCUCUGUUCAUAAUGUUGGCAAAGACUUACAUCACCCUAACCCAACCAAAUUCAGAAAAUGAGAAGAUGACCAAAGUACGUUUGUUACCUUUUUAUGCAAUGCAAUGCAAUCUACUCUCCAUCCUCAACAAAGAGUCAUACUUUUAUGAGAGUGAGUACCUGUGGAGAUUCUGCAUUAAAUGGUGGUAUCCCAACAAGUAACUCAAAAAGAAUAACACCAACAGACCACUAGUCAGCGGUUGUACCUACAACAAACCAAACCAAAGGAAUUAAGUGUGUUUCAACUUUCAAUAUAUAGAUAAGCAAUAAGCAGAAAGACAUUUGAACAAAUGAUAAAGGGUAAAGGGCAGGGGGUAUAAUUGUAAAUUCCAGCCAUGUCCCACGCCAAGAAGUAUCUCAGGAGCCAGAUAGUCAGGAGUCCCAACAACCGACUAUUUCUAAGAAGUUCUAGUGGGAUUCACUGAGUCAAUUCUAGUGGGCUAAGCCCUUUAGAUGUUUAUUAGCAACAACAGAGACUGCCUUCAGAUGAGUUGAGUUAUUUUAAAUGGAAUACAUUUAAACAACACUACAUUCUCAUCUGUUUUCAUCUCUCUCAACUUGGCAACAAAGUUAGCAGGUUCUAAAUAAAGUACACGUGGAUCUACCAAAACAUGUCAUACAUACAUACCUCCACUUAAACAAUACAUUAGAUAUAAUCAAGAAAAUGAUAUUGGCACAAAUUACCAAAUAAAAAAAAGUAAACACUACAAUAUGUCACUGUUGUCAUCUUCUGGAAAGGACAACCUACCAUUAUUCCAGCAGUAACAAGUAUGGCUGGAUAAUUCUAAGCUUUUACCUAUUCAAAGUAGACACCCAUCAGUAAUUAACUUCAACAUUUUCAUUUGAUGAUNGCCUCAGCAGUGAGGACUGCUGACUACGGCAAGGAAUUAUAGACUCCAGGAGAGUAUCGAACGAACGACACACCUGGUUCAGUCUAACAAGUAGAGACUCAGACCCCAGGAGGUACCAAAUGAAAGGUACGGCUGGUAAGGCCUAAAACAGUGAAAAACAGUGAAAACAGUGGAUACAGUGAAUACAGUANUUCAUGUAAAAGUAGAACUCUUCUUUCCGAGGAUCACCCCAUUCCUGUAAUAGAGCAAGUCAUUCACAUCUAGAAAGAAACAUACUAAUAUUAUCAUAGCAUCCUGCUUUGAGUUUCCAAAACAAAAAAAAAUAUUAUAUAUAAAUCAGCUCCCAUUCUGCAGUUAUAAGAGGAAUAGUUGGACCAAGCAUCGUAGUCACAACAUCUACUAAUGCUACUCCAGCUACAGUAGCCUUAAAUAAAUCAGGUCUCAUGUUCACAACAGCACCAAUAAGCAACCCCCCUGCACUUCUUCCAUUAAUGGACAGUUUUUCUUUCGUACAAUAUUUCUUUUGGUUUGAGAAGUUUGAGUUUCACCUAUGUCGUUGGGUGAUUGAAGGCGAUGAGGCUGCGUUUUCUUCUUAGAGAGAGGGAGGGCGAGAAAGUAAACACAAACCUCACAAAUUAGAGAGGUUAUCGAAACCAUUAAGGGGAACACCAAUGAAAAAUCCAACGGAUUAUUGAGAGAAAAACUGAUUUUUGUUUGUUUAAAAGCUAUCGAAGUAUCAAGAAAUUUCCAAUCCAGGAGAAUUUAGAAAGCAGAUAGAUAGGUACCUGAUUUGACUAGAAGCGCAACUGGACUAGGGUUUGUAAAUUUGAGGAGUCGUUGUAGAUGGAGUAGGGUAGAGGUGAAGAGGAGUUCAGUUACGAAUUUUAUGUUGUGAUUAUUGUGUCUAAAUUUCGCCAUAAAGAUACGAUUGAGAGAGAAUGGUCUUCGAUUUUUGGAAGGAAGUGAGGGUGUUACAGAGAGGGGGAUCAAACUUGCGUGGAGAUCUAAGGAGAGAGUGAGCGGUCUUCGAUCCGAUCGAGAGAGAAUCGUCGCCAUAAAGAUACGAUCGAGGAAAAUCGUCUUGAGAGGGGAAAUUAUUUGGGAAGAACUUGAAGCAUUUGAAACCCUAGACCUUGAUUCGAUGUAACUUGAUAGUGGCCAUUGUAGAUUGAUAGAUUGAAUACCUGGAGCGAUCCCUUGUGAAGAAAGCUGCGCGAUUACAGAGAGUCCUUGUUGACCGGAUCCAAAGAUUCCGUUAAUGGCUUUAUCGGGUUUGGUUAAAUCCCCAGUUUGGAAUGUGCUACAUCUGGUUCAUGAACUUGCCAAGUUAAUUAGGGUUUUUUAAUGAAAAAUGAAAGGGGUUAAUGGAUUAGGAUGAUGUCAUACCUGAGAAAACAAAGAAAAAGUAAGAGACCUCGCAGAUCAAUUAUGAUUCACCUUCGAGGUUUACAGAGAGACAGGAGGUAGAGAAUGAAGGGAGAUCUAGAGGAGAGAGUAUCAGAGAGGGGAGAGUGGAUUGCAAGGAUGAAAAAUAGAUAGAAGAUAGAAAAAACAAGGCGGGUUUUCAAAAUUUUGGGGAUUUCGUUUCCCCCUUCAUUAACUAAAAGCGCGUUUCAUUAAAAUUAUAAAGCGACAUGUACAGACGACGCGCGUUUAAGAUAAAGCGCCCUCCGUGUUUCUAAUUUUUUUCUUGAGACACAAAAUUAAGGGCACGCAAUAAUGUGUGACGAUAACACUAUUUUAAGGGCACGUCCUAUUGCGUAUCGUUAAUCAACGCGUGUUGUAAAAAGCGCGUCAUUAAAGGUCUAUUUUCUAGUAGUGUGAGGCUGUAGAGCAGUUGUAAGGCUCACUCAACCCAAAAGGAAAACAUUGGGUGAGAGAGGUGUAGAUUGUAUCUUUAUUAGAUAUGCUGAGCAUUCCAAAGCAUAUAUAUUCUAUGUUUUAGAAUCUAAUGACUUUGUGUCUAUGAACACUAUGAUAAAUUCAAGAGAUGUUAUAAAUAUUUACAUCUAUACCUAGUCCAAGGGACAUGAUUCAUCAAUCUUUCACCAAAGGUACAAAUCAAGGUGAAGAUGUUUUUGGUGGUGCAAGUUAUGUACCUGAACCUAGGAAAAGUACAAGACCUAGAAAAGAUAAGUCUUUUGGAUCUGAUUUUAAACUUUAUUUAGUUGAAGGAACAAGGAAUGAUACUAUAUGUCAACAUCAAUAUUGUUUGAAUAUUGAGGAGGAUCCAAAGAAUUUUAGUGACGCUAUGGCUUCUAGAGAUGUUCAUUUUUAGAAAGAAGCAAUUCAUGAUGAGAUUGAUUCUAUCAUGCAUAACAAUACUUGGGUAUUGUCAGAUUUACCUCCUGGUUGCAUGGCAUUGGGAAGUAAGUGGAUCCUCAAAAGGAAAAUGAAAGUGGAUGUCACAAUUGAUAAUUAUAAAGCCAAAUUGGUUAUCCAAGAAUUUAGGCAAAAAGAAAGCAUUGACUUCUUUGAUACCUAUGCUCCUAUUGCUAGAAUUUCCACUAUGAGAUUAUUGUUAGCUCUUACAACUAUACAUAAUCUUGUGAUUUACCAAAUGGACGUGAAAGUUGCAUUCUUGAAUGGUGACUUGGAUGAGGAUAUUUACAUGAAACAAUCUAAAGGAUUUGUGAUGCCUGGUAAUGAACAUAAGGUGUGCAAGUUUAAGAAAUCAUUAUAUGGUUUGAAACAAGCACCAAAACAAUGGCAUCAAAAGUUUGAUGAUGUGAUAUUAUCUAAUGGUUUUGCAUUAACCAGGAUGCCAAAUUUGUAUAUAGCAAAUUUGAUUCUGGUAAAGGAGUUAUAAUUUGUCUAUAUGUUGAUGAUAUGUUAAUCUUUGGCACUGAUCAAGGUGAAGUUGAUAAAACCAAGAAAUUCUUAUCAUUUAGUUUUGACAUGAAAGACAUGGGGGAUGUUGAGGUAAUUCUCGGUAUAAGAAUUAGAAAAGGAAACAAUGGGAUUUCAAUUUCUCAAUCUCAUUACAUUGAGAAGAUAUUGAAAAAGUUUAACUUUGAGAAUUGUUCUCCUGUUAGAACUCCUAUAGAUCCUAGUCUUAAGCUUCUACCUAAUAAAGGAUCUCAAGUGUCUCAACUUGAAUACUCAAGAGCUAUUGGUUGUUUAAUGUAUGCCAUGAUUAGUACUAGGCCUAAUAUAACAUAUGUUGUGGGAAGGCUUAGUAGAUAUACUAGUAAUCCUAGUUUACAUUAUUGGCAAGAUGUGAGUAGAGUAUUCAAGUAUUUGAAAGGACCAUGAAUUAUGGUUUAACUUAUAGUGGAUAUCCUUCUGAUUUGGAACAUUAUUCAGAUGCCUGCUGGAUUAACAACUUAGAGGAUCACUCCUCUACAAGUGGUUGGGUGUUUCUUCUUGGAGGAGGUGCCAUUUCUUGAGUAUCUAGGAAACAAACUUGUAUUCCUAACUUAACCAUGAAGUCUGCGUUUGUUGCAUUGUCUGCUGCUGGUAAAGAAGCUGAGUGGCUAAGGAAUUUGAUUUAUGAAAUUCCAUUAUGGCCUAAACCGAUAUCUACCAUUUCUAUCACAUGUGACAGUGCUACAACCUUAGCUAAGGCUUAUAGUCAAGUGUACAAUGGAAAGUCUAGACAUUUAGGUGUUAGACAUAGCAUGAUUAGUGGGCUCAUCAUGACUGGUGUGAAAUCUAUGGAGUUUGUAAGAACCCAGUUAAAUUUUCCCGAUCAUCUAACCAAAGGGUUAGUAAGAGAUCUUGUGCGCAAGGCAGCUGUAGGGAUGACUUUAAAGUCCACUUAUAAUCUUUUAUAUUGAGAUACCCAAUUCCCAUCUAAUGUAAUAUUAAAUUUUGAAUUCAAUGUGGAAAGAUUGAUAUUUGAAGAUUUGAAAACAUUAUUUAAAGCUUGUAUUCUUAAUAGUUCUUUUGAAAAAUUGCAUUUACAGAUGCAAGAAUAAAAGGACUACCUAUAUAGGCAUGAAGUUUAGUUGCUUCAAGAAGUUAGGACUUGACUUUGAUAUGCUUAUUGAAGGAUGAGACACAAGCUAGUAAAAUAUUGUGUCAAGUUAGAACUUAUAAGAACAUAAAGUGUUGUGUGUAUUAUUUUCAUGUAUUCACUGUGAGUAGAAAAGGUUCAAUCCUUAGUGACACCUUGAUAUUCGAAUAUUUGGAUUGAAUAAUAUACUAAUGUGAAAUUCAAUCGUCAUGACAUUUCAUUUAUGCAUCUGAUUGUUGAUGUUAUGUUUUGUUUUAAGUUAAUCAAGAUUGCACUUAAGUGGGGGAGAUUUGUUGGUGAUUUUGUAUCAUCAAUGUGUACUUAAGUGUAAUGGAUUGACUUUUUGACCAAAAUUCAAUAUUGAUGAAUAUUAAACAAGUAAGGAAGGUGCAGAGUGCACACUUGGUUAAGUUCAUUCAAGAUUCAAAGUAGACUGUCAAUUAGGGGCGAAGCCCCUAAACGAAUAGGGGUCCAGGGGCAACGCCCGUGGGAGCGGGGUCCAAGGGGCGGCAGCCUAUGGCGGGGUCCAAGGGGCAGAGCCCCUGGCUAGGGUCGAGCUGCUAUAUAAAAAAUGCAUUAGAAAUCUGAAUUUUUUGUAAAUGAACCCGAUUUUGACUUCAUUUUGACAUUUAUUAAUAAUCCAGUUUUAGUGGCAGUUUAUGACGGUUAUAAACUGUUUUUGACAGUUUGAGUAGAUUUUUGGAAAAAGAAAAGUGUCUUGACAGUUUCCAGACAAAUGAAGUAUUUAAUUAUUUUGGUCAUAAUUUUUUUGGUACAAUAACAAUCACAAAAAUCAUAAGUUUAUAUUAUUUGUUCUUGAAACUCUUCUGAGUCUUAUAGAUUAAAGGUUGGGAGUACCACCCAAAUACUUUAAUCUGAAAGUGUACUCACGAUUCUCAGAAUUUUCAAGCAUUUUAUUAUCCCGAAUUUAUAACAAAGAAUGCCGAAGGAGAAGGCUAUAACAAUAGUGAAAAAGAUUUGUGAAUGGUUGGCUUAGCUUUUUGAGAAACAUUUUAUGGUGUUAAACUCAAUUACUCAGCAAAUGAUUUAAAGUGUAUUUCUGUGAAUCGGAUGAAGUUUUAAUAUUUUGGUAAAUUUCUCUAAAAUACUUAUGAUUAAUGUCAUAGUUCAAGCAUCAUUGUCAUUUAUGAAAUUUAAUAGAGCAUAACCACAUGCAAUAUAUAAAAGAUAUUAUUAAUGUUCAUACCUAAAACCAUAUGUUACGUAUUUUUGAUCAACUAAAUAAUUUGAUUAAUUGAAUAAAAAUUGAUUUGUCAAUAUCUUCUCUGUAAGAUAAAACAUUAAAAGUUGAAUUCAAAAAUUACGUCUAUGUACAAAAACUUAUAAAAGAAAAUUUAUUUAAGAUCAAUUUGUAAAUUGGAAAUUUACAAAAUUUUCAUAUUUAUAAGCUUAUAUCAAAAGUAUUCAUUCUUAUUUGAAAAAUACUCAUUUUUAUGUUUUAUGUACACUGUCAGCCUACUUUUUUUUUGUUUGUCAAAUUUUACAGCUUACUGUUAUCUAAUUCUGCAAGUUACCAUUGCGUUCAUUAUAGAGGUAAUCUAAAUGAUGCCGAGCUUUAUUUUACGAAGAUAUAACUAUCGACUUCUAUCUGUUUUUUAUCACACUCUAAUAUGAUUUUUUCGGCUUGUUGCUAUUAGUAUUGAUUUUGUAAAUAGGAAAUUUAUUCAAUAAUAAUUAAAAUUUUAUAAACAUAAUUUUCAAUAAUACAUGAAAAGUUGCAUUUGAUGGAUGACAUGACUUGGAGAGGUAUGGACGGCCGUAACUGUGGGUCCGUUAGUGGUAUAAAUUUAAACAAAAGAAUAAAUAGUUGAAAUAAUAACAAAAGGAUAUGUAGGAUCAAGUGAUGCCCGACCCCACUCCACAUCGGAUCAUGGUCAUACCUUGUCAUUAUAUGGCCUUUUCCAUCCUAAAUGCAAAGGUAAAUUAAACACACGAAUGAUAUUUUUAAGACGCAUUGACAUCGAUUACAAGAAUGUAAGGUUGUCAAAAAAACGUUAUGUAGUACUUAUUAAGUCGAUUAGGUUAAGGGAUUAAUCAAUGUAAACCGGGAUUAAUCGGAUACUCUAGAAUAAUAAGGAAUUUAUUUUAAAAAAAGAAAUAUUACCAAUAUCAUAAAAACAUUAGUAAAUAACCAUAAAAGACUCAUCAUAUAGUGUUUAAACAUUUAACUCACGAAUCAUCACACAUUAAAUUCACAACCAGUGUCAAUGUUAAGACCGACAUUAAGAGAAACAAGAAGUUGUUGUCGAUUCGGUCAAAGAAAGUGGAGUCAAAGAGAACUAAUGAGAAGUGAGAACCAUAACUUUUUAUUUAUCUUUUGUUCUCUAAUUUUUGAAUUUUUUUUUCAAGUUUUUAUUGAUUAUUUGACUUCUAUUUUGACUUUUGUUGACUAUUUUAUUAAAUUUGACAUUUUAAUUUUGUUGACAAAUUUUAACCGAUUAUGACCGAUUAGAAUCAAUUAGUGUUGCUUAGGAUCAGUUAGAACCAUGACCGGUUAAGAUGACCGACCAGCAUUAAUCGUAAGCGGUUAGAGACCGUCUAAUAUAUAUGUGCAUACUAAUUGGCGGCCUAAUAAACAUAACAUAUAGACAAGUCACAAACUAAUAAACAUAAAAUAUAGACAAAAUUAAACUUACGGUCCCUAUGGUUUAUCCAUGAUCACAAACUAAGUCUACGCUACCUGAAAAGACCAAAUUAUCAUCACACUAACGGACAAAAAACUAACAACGUUAACAAAAAAGAUCAUUCACACAAGUUUUGGAAAUCAUAAAGACCAUGUUCAUCAAAAAAAAGUUAGCAAUGACUGAGUUUGUAACGUUUGGUAAACCACAUAUAUGUUAAAUGAAUAUAAAAAUUAUGUUAAUCUAUAUUUUAGGAAAAUAUCAUCAUACAUCAUACCAUAUGUUUUUCGAAGAAGACCAUUUUCAAUUUUGAUUUGUGAUGUAAAGCUAUUUGAAAUUCAUAAUUUUGGAAUCUAACUUGGAAGUUUUUUUUCUUUAUGAAAAUGAUCUUUGAGUUUAAAAAUCUAUAUUCACGACGUAAAGUUAUUUUAAAAAUAAUUCUAUUUGAAUUGUAGAAUUUUUUAUCUAUAUUUUUGAACUCACUUAGAUUUUUAAGAAUCUUUUUUUUCUAAAAAAAGUAAAAUUCUAAUUUUUUUUAAAUAAUUUCGAACUAAAUUAUUAGUUAUGAAAACAUUUAUGCAAAAAUAUUGUUCAAAAUUUAGAACAUUUCUAAAAUUUUAGAAAUAUUUUUGUUUUUAGUUUUUUUAUUGUCACAUGUCUAUUGAAGGUAGUUUUUUAUGUGAUUCAAUAAAUGUUUAUCAAAACCUUCUAAAAGAUAAGAUGAGUUGUGCAUAUAAAUGUUAUUUAGGGGGUAUUUGAGAGUGUUUUUUAAACUCUAAAAGUGAUUUUAGAUAAAAAUGUUUAUUUGUUUAUAAUGGUGGUAAAAUGAGUUUUUUUAAAAGUGUUUCGAUAUGUUUUUAUGGUUAAAAAACUAAUAAGUCAAUAAGUUAAAAAGUGUUUGGUUUAAAAAGUGCUUUUUUGUAACACAUAAAUUUUCAACCAAAAUUUUCAUUUUUCAAAAGUCACAAAACUUCUCAAAAUCAUAGUUCACAAAACUCCAAAAUAACAUUUGUCAAAAACACAUGUUCAUAAGUUAUUUAAACACAAUCCAGGAUCCCCAAAUCAUAAUCCGCCUCGUGUGUACAAUCAUGCCGACACUUUCAUGUGAUCCUGAGAAGUAAUUGAAACACAUAAAACAUAACACGGUAAGCACGAAGCUGAGUGGGUUCCCCAAAAUACCACACAUAUCUCAUUAGCCUCUUAUAGAUAUACUCAAAAAAGACCCUCCAGUCAAUGUGUCUCAGUGGGACCCUCCGUCCCACAACUCGUGUGGACCCUCCGGUCCUAACUCAAUAAGCUCAGAAUAAUAACAACAUAAAUCACAAAGACAAUAUAAAGGAUAUCACAAUACUCAAUAUAAACAUAUAAGACUCUCCGGUCACACAAAGGUUACCACUCUAGGUAAAUAUAGUAAAAAGACUCACCUCGUAAGCAAGCAAGUAAAUAAUCUCGUACGCGAAUCUCGAACUAGCCUCCGCCUAACACAUAAGAUAAUUAUCUCUAAUUAACAUUUAAAUCACGACUCUAAGUAAACUAGGUUAUUCUCUCUCUCAAACUCUUGGAAUGGGUAAAAGACCAUUUUACCCCUCCAUGGUCCCCACAAUCCCUGCCUUGACCAAACCCUAAAGUCAAUAGAAGUCAACACUCGAGUCAACGGUCCAUGUUGACCUAACUCGCCGAGUGCAUCUAUGUUACUCGCCGAGUCCCCAUUGUUCCUUCAGAAAUGACGCAAAAACCCAGCUUAACUCAUCGAGUUGUGUCAUCAACUCGCCGAGUAACCUGUUGGAAUAGUGUCUAAGGCUGCAACUAUAUUAGGCAAGUACUUGACCCGGUUGUGCAUGGCCCUUUUGGGUUGCCUUCACCAUAGCAACUUGACAGGAUGAUUUAUUAUGAGAGAAGAAAUAUUAUUAAUAUAUUAUGAGAAUAAUAUAAGGAAUAAUAAUAUUAUUAUUUGAUUAAUAUAAGUCAUAAAUUAAUUAGGAAUUAAUUUGGUGACUUAAAGAGAUUAACUGAAUAAAGGGGCAUAAACUGUCAAUUGUAUGAUAGUUGUACUUUGGGCUAUAAAUCCCUUAUGGAUAAAGGGGGACGGUUUUAAGGACUAUGGAUAGGCCUUGAAAUCGUCCAAAGGCUUAUCAAUUAGGGUAUUGGAUUGCUUAGGGCCUAAGUUAUCCAAUUAGGGU
This 17169-nucleotide long non-coding RNA is filed under the name Lactuca sativa (garden lettuce). RNAcentral describes it as "long non-coding RNA (LSAT_LNC009803)". Lineage: Eukaryota; Viridiplantae; Streptophyta; Magnoliopsida; Asterales; Asteraceae. The record is from RNAcentral.